RNAcentral lists this ribosomal RNA (1073 nucleotides) under Boana pulchella (Montevideo treefrog). RNAcentral's name for it is "partial 16S ribosomal RNA". It matches the Rfam family "Bacterial large subunit ribosomal RNA", at positions 845 to 2597 of the family's 2925-position model. The record is from RNAcentral. Lineage: Eukaryota; Metazoa; Chordata; Amphibia; Anura; Hylidae.
AUAGCUGGUUACUUGAUAAAAGAAUUUUAGUUCUACCUAAAGCCCAAAUAAAGUUUUAUAAACUAACAUUCAUGCUUUAGAGUUAUUCAAAUAAGGUACAGCCUAUUUGAAUAAGGAAACAACCUAGACUAAUGGGUAAGACAUCUACAGUGUAUUAAAGUGGGCCUAAAAGCAGCCACCUUCAAUAAUAGCGUCAAAGCUUACCUAUACAAGUACAUUCAAUUUCAUAUCCUAAUCCAAACCCUUUAUUUUCAUCAAGUAAUUCUAUAUAUCUAUAGAACAUAAAAUGUUAAAACUAGUAACAAGAAGUAAACCCUUCUCUUAAAUGCAAGUGUAAGCCAGGAAGGAUAAACCACUGUCAAUUAACACCAAUGAUUUUCAAUUAACAACACCACAAGAGAACCCUAAUAAAACAAAUGUUAAACUAACACAAGAGCAUUUCAAGAAAGAUUAAAAGAAAAAGAAGGAACUCGGCAAACACCAACCCCGCCUGUUUACCAAAAACAUCGCCUCUUGCCAAAUAUAAGAGGUCCAGCCUGCCCAGUGACCUAGUUCAACGGCCGCGGUAUCCUAACCGUGCGAAGGUAGCGUAAUCACUUGUUCUUUAAAUGGGGACUAGUAUGAAUGGCAUCACGAGGGUUACACUGUCUCCUUUUUUUGAUCAGUGAAACUAAUCUUCCCGUGAAGAAGCGGGAAUAUCUUUAUAAGACGAGAAGACCCUAUGGAGCUUUAAACAAAUUAACACCUGCUGCCCGAGAUUGUUCUUUCAGAAAUAUAAAACAUAGCAUAGCAUGAUGAUUAAUAGUUUUUGAUUGGGGUGAUCACGGAGUAAAAAACAACCUCCAUGCCGAAAGGGGUUUUACCCUGAGCAAAAAACCACAAUUUUAAGCACUAAAAAAUUAACGUUUAUUGACCCAGUAUAAUGAUCAACGAACCAAGUUACCCUAGGGAUAACAGCGCAAUCCACUUCAAGAGCUCCUAUCGACAAGUGGGUUUACGACCUCGAUGUUGGAUCAGGGUAUCCCAGUGGUGCAGCCGCUACUAACGGUUCGUUGUUCAACGAUUAAAACCCU